UAGUCCACGCCGUAAACGAUGGUUACUAGCUGUUUGGACUAAUUGAGGUCUAAGUGGCCAAGCGAAAGUGAUAAGUAACCCACCUGGGGAGUACGUUCGCAAGAAUGAAACUCAAAGGAAUUGACGGGGGCCCGCACAAGCGGUGGAGCAUGUGGUUUAAUUCGAUGAUACGCGAGGAACCUUACCAGGGCUUAAAUGCAUAUUGACAGGGGUAGAGAUACCUUUUCCUUCGGGCAAUUUGCAAGGUGCUGCAUGGUUGUCGUCAGCUCGUGCCGUGAGGUGUCAGGUUAAGUCCUAUAACGAGCGCAACCCCUGUUGUUAGUUGCCAGCGAGUGAUGUCGGGAACUCUAACAAGACUGCCGGUGCAAACCGUGAGGAAGGUGGGGAUGACGUCAAAUCAUCACGGGCCCUUACGUCCUGGGGCUACACACGUGCUACAAUGGGUAGGGUACAGAGAGCAGCCACUGCGUGAGCAGGGAGCGGAAUCUACAAAACCUAUCACAGUUCGGGAUC
RNAcentral lists this ribosomal RNA (513 nucleotides) under uncultured bacterium. RNAcentral describes it as "bacterial SSU rRNA". It matches the Rfam family "Bacterial small subunit ribosomal RNA", at positions 791 to 1300 of the family's 1533-position model. The record is from RNAcentral.